CCAAUAGCGUAUAUUAAAGUUGUUGCAGUUAAAAAGCUCGUAGUUGAAUUUCGGGAUCAAUGUUUUGGUCAUGCCGUUGGUAUGUACUGAUAUUAUUGGUUUCUCACCUUCUAAAGAACCGUAAUGCCAUUAAUUUGGUGUCACGGGGAAUUAGGACUGUUACCUUGAAAAAAUUAGAGUGUUUAAAGCAGGCUCACGCUUGAAUACAUUAGCAUGGAAUAAUGAAAUAGGACAUCCGAUUCUAUUUUGUUGGUUUCUAGGAUCGAUGUAAUGAUUAAUAGGGAUAGUUGGGGGCAUUAGUAUUCAAUUGUCAGAGGUGAAAUUCUUGGAUUUAUUGAAGACUAACUACUGCGAAAGCAUUUGCCAAGGAUGUUUUCAUUAAUCAAGAACGAAAGUUAGGGGAUCGAAGACGAUCAGAUACCGUCGUAGUCUUAACCAUAAACUAUGCCGACUAGGGAUCGGAUGAUGUUAAUUUUUUAAUGACUCAUUCGGCGCCUUACG
RNAcentral lists this ribosomal RNA (501 nucleotides) under uncultured Glomeromycotina. Its description in RNAcentral is "partial small subunit ribosomal RNA". It matches the Rfam family "Eukaryotic small subunit ribosomal RNA", at positions 591 to 1092 of the family's 1831-position model. The record is from RNAcentral. Lineage: Eukaryota; Fungi; Glomeromycota.